GUGAUUAUACUAGCACUAAUACACCGGAUCCCAUCAUAACUCCACAGUUAAGCUUGCUUGAGCGAGAAUAGUACUAGGAUGGGUGACCCCCUGGGAAGUUCUCGUGUUGUACCCC
This is a non-coding RNA of Ilex paraguariensis (yerba mate), 115 nucleotides long. The record is from the annotation of a GenBank genome assembly. Lineage: Eukaryota; Viridiplantae; Streptophyta; Magnoliopsida; Aquifoliales; Aquifoliaceae.